AGUGAACGCUGGCGGCGUGCCUAAUACAUGCAAGUCUAACGCGUGGCGCACGGGUGAGUAAUGUAUAGCUAAUCUGCCCUACACUAUCGGACACCAGUUGGAAACGACUGCUAAUACUCUAUAGUGUAGGAUGAGGCUAUAUUGUAUCAGCUAGUUGGUGAGGUAAUGUCUCACCAAGGCUAUGAUGGAUAACUGGUCUGAGAGGAUGAUCAGUCACACGGGAACUGAGACACGGUCCAGACUACUACGGGAAGGAGCGGUAGGGAAUAUUGCUCAAUGGGGGAAACCCUGAAGCAGCAACGCCGCGUGGAGGAUGACAGUUUUCGGAGCGUAAACUCCUUUUGUUAGGGAAGCGGUACCUAACGAAUAAGCACCGGCUAACUCCGUGCCAGCAGCCGCGGUAAUAC
Molecule: ribosomal RNA, 407 nt
Filed under: uncultured bacterium
Lineage: Bacteria
Description: partial 16S ribosomal RNA
Rfam family: Bacterial small subunit ribosomal RNA
Source: RNAcentral